RNAcentral lists this ribosomal RNA (484 nucleotides) under uncultured bacterium. Its description in RNAcentral is "partial 16S ribosomal RNA". It matches the Rfam family "Bacterial small subunit ribosomal RNA", at positions 30 to 507 of the family's 1533-position model. The record is from RNAcentral.
AUUGAACGCUGGCGGCAGGCCUAACACAUGCAAGUCGAGCGGAUGAAGGGAGCUUGCUCCUGGAUUCAGCGGCGGACGGGUGAGUAAUGCCUAGGAAUCUGCCUGGUAGUGGGGGAUAACGUCCGGAAACGGGCGCUAAUACCGCAUACGUCCUGAGGGAGAAAGUGGGGGAUCUUCGGACCUCACGCUAUCAGAUGAGCCUAGGUCGGAUUAGCUAGUUGGUGGGGUAAAGGCCUACCAAGGCGACGAUCCGUAACUGGUCUGAGAGGAUGAUCAGUCACACUGGAACUGAGACACGGUCCAGACUCCUACGGGAGGCAGCAGUGGGGAAUAUUGGACAAAGGGCGAAAGCCUGAUCCAGCCAUGCCGCGUGUGUGAAGAAGGUCUUCGGAUUGUAAAGCACUUUAAAUUGGGAGGAAGGGCAGUAAGUUAAUACCUUGCUGUUUUGACGUUACCAACAGAAUAAGCACCGGCUAACUUCGUG